CAUGUCCUUGGCCAUAAGAAAAAUUCAGAGAAGAAAUCUGGAGAUGGUGAGAAAACAGCCUGCAUGCAGACAUAGAUGGCCCUCACACUGUAACCUGGAUUCAAAAUCAUGGAUAUUUCAAGGUUUCUUGAGGGGUGUUUACUGAUCUCAUCGUAGAGAAACUAUAUCAAAAAUGUAGCUGACGAUGCUCUCAUUUCUGCAAAAGAUUUAAGUUGUAUAGGACACAGGGUAUUCUUUGUGAAAUAACUAUGCAUCUUUACAGUCCAUUAAUUGGCAAUCAGCACCAAUGUCUGCAACCAUGUAUAAUUCCAAAGCAUCUUGUCAACAGCAGACAAAUGGGCCAAAAUUAUUGAAGCUUUCCUUUUGUCACUGUAAUUACAAGCAGAGGUUCAAGAAAGAACUCUAAACUGCUUGCCACCUCCUUUCUCUUCUCUUACAUCUUCCUCACCACCUCAGACUUUGGGGGGAAAACAACCACAGGAUAAGAUACAAACAACCAUGACAUUUCCAUAAAGAAAUGACUGAAAAUAUGGG
Molecule: long non-coding RNA, 534 nt
Organism: Pezoporus flaviventris
Lineage: Eukaryota; Metazoa; Chordata; Aves; Psittaciformes; Psittacidae
Exons: 3
Source: RefSeq, a predicted model, not a curated record